AACUACAAAAGAAGUGGCAGGAGCGAAUGUCGCAGAAGAAACGGACACAUCAACAACAACAACUGAUACAGCAACAACAACAACAACCGAUACAGCAACAACAACAACAACCGAUACAGCAACAACAACAACCGAAACAGCAACAACAACUGAUACAGCAACAACAACCGAUACAGCAACAACCGACACAACAACAACCGACACAACAACAACUAUUGCUACUAGAAAAGGCACCAAAUCAAAACGAAAUGGUUAAUAUGGUCGGUUUUAAACUAUUAACCGAAAGCUCAGACGUAAAAAAAAAUGUAACAAAAAAAAUUAUUUCAUCUUUUAAAAAGCGCGGAGCCAUUUUUAUAAUUCCCCCUUUAUUGUUACAAAAUAAAUAUUAUUUAAAUUUGGAAAAAUUAAUGGUCGAAGAAUAUAAUUACAAUUUUAACAUAAAUAAAAAAAAUAUAAACAAAACAAACAAUGUUUUUAUAAACACCAAUAAUAUACAUAAUGUGUGUAACAAGGUUUAUUUGUUGGAUAUAUAUGGGAAUAGUUUAACUUUACGAAGUUCUUUUUUUUUAUCAUUUUCUGAGUAUAUAUAUGAAAAUAUAGAUAAUUAUAAUGAAAAUAAUGAAAACAAUUUAUUUUUAAAAUUUUAUACAAAUGGAUAUACAUAUCGAUAUGAGGAUUGUAAAAAUAGGCAACCAAAAAAGGAUAUAAAUAUAUGUACAAAUCUUGUUGUUAAUACAAAUUUAUGUGUUACAACUCAAUUGUGUAGUGAUGAUAAUGAUUAUAAUAGUAGUAGUAACGAAAUAAACAAUAAUAAUAAUAAUAAUAGUAGUAGUAAUAAAGUUGGUAAUAGUGUUAUUAGUAAUUGUUGUAAUAAUUGUUGUAAUAAUUGUUGUAAUUGUUGUACAUACCCAGAAGAAGUAGAAAAAAUAUUUUAUUGUAUUUUAGUUAAUAAAAAAAAAGCAUCUGGGCAAGAAGAGUUAAACUAUUUGACUAUAUUUUCGAACUCUGAUAUUCUUGUAUCGGUAUAUACAUUAUAUAAUAAUUUUUGUUCUUAUAACAAGUUAUUAUUUUUGUGGUCUUACAUAGAUUUACUACCUCAAAUUUUGUAUGUAUGUCUAGAUAUAGAUGAAACAAUUUGUUACGAGUUAAGUAUUCAGUUAAAAAAAAAUUCCUUUCAGUUAGCAAACAAAUCAAUUAUUACAUCUAUAUUACAAGAUUUAAAAAUAUAUAAUAAAAAUGAUACUAAUAAUAGUAAUAGUAAUGGUAGUAUAACAAUAUGUGAUUUUAUUUUUAAUUUGUAUCAUAUAAAAUGUGAAAAUAACCAAAUAGAUAAAUAUUUAAAUACAUUAAAAACUUUUGUUUCCAAUACGAUUGAAAAAAAAGAUGAUUUGUUAAAUGUUACGUAUACUACUUAUAUUUAUUCUAAUCAGAGUCUUAACAGCCAUACAACGGAUUGUUCAAGUAAUCGAUGUAUGGAUGAAAAUAAUAAUUCUAAUAAUAUAUUAUAUGCUAAUAAUAAUAACAAUAGCAAUAUUACUAAAAAUGUGGUAUCCGAUUGUGUAGAUAAAAUAAAUAAUAUAGAUUACAUUGAUCAAGACAUUACUACAAAUGUUACAAAUGUUAGAAAUGUAUAUGAUAUAGAAAAGGAAUCGAUUGAUAUAAAAACAUAUAAUAAAAACCUAAAUGAGAACAAAAAAAAAAAAAUGAAUAUAUUUACAUUACUAGACAAAAUAAUAACAAUUAAUAAUUUUAUUUCAACAAACACAAUUAUAGAUAAUACAUGUUUUGAUUUAUUUUUAAAUUAUGAAGAACAAGUUUUUUCAAAUGAAAUUAUUUUUUAUGUUAUAUCAGAAAAUAAAAAUAGAGAUAUAGUAGCAUGUGGUGGGAAGUUCGAUAAACUUGUUCAGCAAUUAUAUAUGAAUAAUAUAACAGAUGAUUAUUUAUAUGGUAGUAAAGUUAGUGGUGAUCCUAUAAAUUACCCCAUGAAUUGUUUUAUAAAUUACCCCAUGAAUGAUCUUAUCAAUUAUCCUAUAAAUUACCUUAUGAAUGAUAUGGGUAUUAUACACUUGAAUAAAAAAAGCAAUUACAACAAUAUAGUAGAUAUUAGUUUAUAUGGAGUGGAAAUAUAUGUUGACAAACUGUUUUUAAAAUCAAAUGAAUUAAAUGAUAAUAAACUAUCGGGUUGUGUACAAUCAUCAAUAACAUUUGAAAAGCCACAAAUAUUUAAACAUUUUUUACUCCCAACGGAUUAUAAAAACAAUUUUGUAUAUACACAUAAUCUAAAUGAAUCAAAAAUGGAUAAUAGUCUUAAUAAUAAUAGUCUUAAUAAUAAUAGUCUUAAUAAUAAUAGUCUUAGUAAUAAUAGUUAUAACCAUAGUUAUAAUAAUAGUUGUAAUCAUAGUUAUAAUAAUAGUUGUAAUAGUAGCUGUAUUAGUAAUUGUAAUAAUAUGGCAAAUGUUAGUUACUACUCUUUUUUUAAUAGUUUUUUUGACAAAUCAUAUGCUAUUAGUAGAUUAAAAGUGCUAUGUACUUGAAUUAAAACU
RNAcentral lists this long non-coding RNA (2543 nucleotides) under Piliocolobus tephrosceles (Ugandan red Colobus). RNAcentral's name for it is "lncRNA (ENSPTEG00000035123.1)". The record is from RNAcentral. Lineage: Eukaryota; Metazoa; Chordata; Mammalia; Primates; Cercopithecidae.